AAAAUUUUGCCUCUUUAUUAUUAGGUACAUAUAUUAACCAACAAUGAUGGUAGUUUCAGGAAAAAAAAAUCCAGCCAAUGUUUGUUGGAAUUGAUAUUAGCGCAGUUGGCAUUCAAUUUCAAGUGUUCAUUUUUGGAAUGGUAAUGCUUAGUUAAGGACGUCCGGCCGUCCGGACGGACCAAUCUUUCCACGUGUUACGAGUAAUAAUUAAAAAAGUGGCGUGUAGUUAGGAAUUUGCACCAUCUUCCACAUGAGAGCGCGUGCGCGUGCGUCCACUGGUUCGUUGGGUGUACAUGUGGCGCAGAGUGGUCAGACUGCCAACUGCGUUUGCUGUUGGUUGGACCAACUGUAACACCCUAAAAAAUUGUUUUAUGGGAAAUAGAGUUAAAAUGAUUUAAUUAUAAAUUUUUGGUGCUCAUGAAACCUAGGAAAUAAUAUUUUUCAUCAAAACAAAAUUUAUCUUAGGGUGUAGCAAUAUUUUUGUGCACUCAUGCUUCUGCAUUUUGGUUUAUUGUGCUGAGUGUUUUUGAACUCAAAAUUCAAAAGAAUUUAAAAGAUUUUUUAAAUGAGUUUCAAAUGGCUUUGAAAUAAAAAAAACAAACAAAAAGAAAACAAACAAAAGAAAAAGGAAAAGCCUUCCCCUUCUGUUUCCCUUUGGCCCAGCAGAUCAGCAGCAGCUCAGCAGCGCGCGACCCGUUUUUCCCUAGCCCAGCUUUUCUCCCCUCUCUCUUGGCCCAUGUCGCAGCGACGGCCCAGCCAGCAGCCGAGGCCCAAGCUUCCCCCUCCCUCUUCUCUCGGUGACAGACAGCCGGGUCCCACUCUCCUUUCGCUGACGCGUGGGGCCCCCGGGACAGCGCCUCCAUCCCCUUCCCUGCGCCGUGGUCGACAUGAACUCUGCGCAGCCGAUCUCGAUUCCGAAAACGGUGGGAUCGCCUUGCCCUUUUCGCCAACCAAGCCCCUAUAAAGCAACUCCUCCAAGGCCGCAGCUUCUGUUUGCA
RNAcentral lists this long non-coding RNA (998 nucleotides) under Sorghum bicolor (sorghum). RNAcentral describes it as "long non-coding RNA (SBIC_LNC009644)". Lineage: Eukaryota; Viridiplantae; Streptophyta; Magnoliopsida; Poales; Poaceae. The record is from RNAcentral.